RNAcentral lists this ribosomal RNA (468 nucleotides) under uncultured bacterium. Its description in RNAcentral is "partial 16S ribosomal RNA". It matches the Rfam family "Bacterial small subunit ribosomal RNA", at positions 28 to 507 of the family's 1533-position model. The record is from RNAcentral.
GACGAACGCUGGCGGUGUGCUUAACACAUGCAAGUCGAACGGUAAGGCCCUUUCGGGGGUCCACGAGUGGCGAACGGGUGAGUAACACGUGAGUAACCUGCCCUCAUCUCUGGGAUAACAGUCGGAAACGGUUGCUAAUACUGGAUAUGAGCUUGCAAGGCAUCUUGUGGGUUGGAAAGAUUUUUUUUGGUUGGGGAUGGACUCGCGGCCUAUCAGCUUGUUGGUGAGGUAGUGGCUCACCAAGGCUUCGACGGGUAGCCGGCCUGAGAGGGCGACCGGCCACAUUGGGACCGAGAUACGGCCCAAACUCCUACGGGAGGCAGCAGUGGGGAAUAUUGCACAAUGGACGGAAGUCUGAUGCAGCAACGCCGCGUGCGGGAUGACGGCCUUCGGGUUGUAAACCGCUUUCAAUUGUGACGAAGCUUUUUUGUGACGGUAGCAGUAGAAGAAGCACCGGCUAACUACGUG